RNAcentral lists this unclassified non-coding RNA (231 nucleotides) under uncultured fungus. RNAcentral describes it as "sequence contains ITS1, 5.8S rRNA gene". The stretch from base 183 to 231 matches the Rfam family "5.8S ribosomal RNA", at positions 1 to 49 of the family's 154-position model. The record is from RNAcentral. Lineage: Eukaryota; Fungi.
UCUCCGUAGGUGAACCUGCGGAGGGAUCAUUACUGAGUGAGGGCUUCGGUCCGACCUCCAACCCUUUGUGAACCAAACUUGUUGCUUCGGGGGCGACCCCGCCGUUUCGGCGGUGGCGCUCCCGGUGGCCAAUUAUUAAACUCUGCAUCUCUUGCGUCGGAGUCUUAAAGAAAUUUAAACAAAACUUUCAACAACGGAUCUCUUGGUUCUGGCAUCGAUGAAGAACGCAGC